RNAcentral lists this ribosomal RNA (122 nucleotides) under Danio rerio (zebrafish). The record is from RNAcentral. Lineage: Eukaryota; Metazoa; Chordata; Actinopteri; Cypriniformes; Danionidae.
UCAGGUGGCCUUAAACUAGCUAGCAGCUAGCUCUCUGACACUCUCACAUGGUCGCCCACUGAAGCUAAGCAGGGCAGUACCUGGAUGGGAGACCACAUAGGAAAGCUAAGUUGCUGCCGGAA